GCUCAGUAACACGUCUUAAAACAAGCCCUUAGGACUGGGAUAACCUUGGGAAACUGACGCUAAUACCAGAUGGGGGAUGGAUGCUGGAAUGCACCAUCCUUUAAAGGCAACACCUAAGGAUGAGUCGGCGGCGGAUUAGGUUGUUGGUGAGGUAAUGGCUCACCAAGCCAAAGAUCCGUACGGGCCAUGAGAGUGGUAGCCCGGAGAAGGACACUGAGAAACUGGUCCUAGCCCUACGGGGUGCAGCAGGCGCGAAAACUUUACAAUGCACGAAAGUGUGAUAAGGGAAUCCUAAGUGCUCAUACACAGUAUGGGCUUUUGCCAAGGGUAAAUACCUUGGAGAAUAAGUGGUGGGUAAGACUGGUGUCAGCAGCCGCGGUAACCCCAGCGCCACAAGUGGGAGCCACAAUUAUUUGGCCUAAAGCGUCCGUAGCUGGCCUAGUAAAUCUUUUGUGAAAUCGGAAAGCUUAACCUUUUCGGCGUGCAGGAGACACUUGCUUGGCUUGAGACCGGGAGGGGUAAGGAGUAUUUCUAGGGGAACCGGUAAAAUGGGGAUAAUCCUAGAAAGACUACCCUGUGGCGAAGGCGCCUUUACCAGUACGGGUUUUGACCGUGGAGGGACGAAAGGCUUAGGGGGGCCGAACCGGAAUUAGAUACCCGAGUAAGCCUAGCAGGUAACCGCUGGCGGUCUAAGUGGUUGUAUUCAUCCACGGGAA
Molecule: ribosomal RNA, 716 nt
Filed under: uncultured archaeon
Lineage: Archaea
Description: bacterial SSU rRNA
Rfam family: Archaeal small subunit ribosomal RNA
Source: RNAcentral